This 550-nucleotide ribosomal RNA is filed under the name uncultured bacterium. Its description in RNAcentral is "bacterial SSU rRNA". It matches the Rfam family "Bacterial small subunit ribosomal RNA", at positions 55 to 598 of the family's 1533-position model. The record is from RNAcentral.
AUGCAAGUCGAGGGGUAACGGAAGUAGCUUGCUACUAGACGACGACCGGCGCACGGGUGAGUAACGCGUAUGUAAUCUGCCUUGUACAGAGGGAUAGCCCAGAGAAAUUUGGAUUAAUACCUCAUAGUAUUACCGAAUCGCACGAUUCGGUAAUUAAAGCUCCGGCGGUACAAGAUGAACAUGCGUGACAUUAGCUAGUUGGUAAGGUAAUGGCUUACCAAGGCCACGAUGUCUAGGGGUUCUGAGAGGAUGAUCCCCCACACUGGUACUGAGACACGGACCAGACUCCUACGGGAGGCAGCAGUGGGGAAUAUUGGUCAAUGGACGCAAGUCUGAACCAGCCAUCCCGCGUGAAGGAUGACUGCCCUAUGGGUUGUAAACUUCUUUUAUAUGCAAAUAAACCUACUUUCGUGAAAGUAGCUGAAGGUAGCAUAUGAAUAAACACCGGCUAACUCCGUGCCAGCAGCCGCGGUAAUACGGAGGGUGUAAGCGUUAUCCGGAUUUAUUGGGUUUAAAGGGUACGUAGGCGGUAAUAUAAGUCAGUGGUGAA